GAUUUCGUAGCUCAAUUGGUUAGAGCGUCGGUCUGAUACACCGGAGGCUGAAGGUUCGAGCCCUUCCGAAAUUACAA
This 77-nucleotide transfer RNA is filed under the name Chryseobacterium elymi. RNAcentral's name for it is "tRNA-Ile". It matches the Rfam family "tRNA". Rfam says of the family: Transfer RNA (tRNA) molecules are approximately 80 nucleotides in length. Their secondary structure includes four short double-helical elements and three loops (D, anti-codon, and T loops). Lineage: Bacteria; Pseudomonadati; Bacteroidota; Flavobacteriia; Flavobacteriales; Weeksellaceae. The record is from RNAcentral.